CGGUACCAGGAAGCGCUGGGGGGAAGAGGAGCGGAGUUGAAACAAGCCAGGAUGGUGGUGCCUUCGCUGAAGCUUCAAGAUCUAAUCGAGGAAAUUCGUGGGGCCAAGACCCAGGCCCAGGAGCGGGAGGUGAUCCAGAAGGAGUGCGCCCACAUCCGCGCCUCCUUCCGCGAUGGGGACCCUCUGCACAGGCACCGCCAGCUGGCCAAACUGCUCUACGUCCACAUGUUGGGCUACCCCGCCCACUUUGGACAGAUGGAGUGCCUGAAACUGAUCGCCUCCCCCAGAUUCACAGACAAGAGGGUGGGCUACCUGGGGGCCAUGCUUCUACUGGAUGAGAGGCAGGAUGCCCACCUGCUCAUUACCAACAGCAUCAAGAAUGACCUGAGCCAGGGGAUUCAGGCAGUACAAGGCCUGGCCCUGUGCACUCUGAGCACUGUGGGCUCUGCUGAGAUGUGCCGGGACCUGGCCACUGAGGUGGAGAAACUGCUCCUGCAGCCCAGCUCCUAUGUGCGCAAGAAGGCUGUUCUGACUGCAGUGCACAUGAUCCGGAAGGUCCCCGAGCUCUCCAACAUUUUCCUCCCACCCUGUGCCCAACUGCUUCAUGAACGCCACCACGGCAUCCUGCUGGGCACCAUCACGCUGAUCAUGGAGCUCUGUGAACGAAGCCCUGCAGCUCUCAAGCACUUUCGAAAGGUGGUUCCCCAGCUGGUGCAGAUCCUCCGGACUCUGGUGACGACGGGAUACUCUGUAGAACACAGUGUAUCUGGAGUCAGCGACCCCUUUCUGCAGGUCCAGAUACUUCGUCUGCUUCGGAUUCUGGGCCAGAACCAUGAAGAAAGCAGUGAGACCAUGAAUGACUUGCUGGCCCAGGUGGCCACCAACACAGACACCAGCCGAAAUGCGGGCAACGCAGUCCUGUUUGAGACUGUGCUGACCAUCAUGGACAUCCGCGCUGCAGCCGGCCUGCGGGUUCUGGCUGUCAACAUUCUCGGCCGCUUUCUGCUCAACAAUGACAGGAACAUUAGGUACGUAGCCCUGACGUCAUUGCUGCGUAUGGUGCAGUCCGAUCACAGCGCUGUGCAGCGGCACCGGCCCACUGUGGUGGAGUGUCUGCGGGAACCCGACGCCUCCCUGAGCCGGCGGGCCCUGGAACUGAGUCUGGCUCUGGUGAAUAGCUCCAAUGUGCGAGCCAUGACACAAGAGCUGCAGAGCUUUCUGGAAUCCUGCCCCCCUGAUCUACGGGCCGACUGUGCCUCAGGCAUCCUGCUGGCAGCAGAGAGGUUUGCCCCAACCAAGCGGUGGCACAUAGACACCAUCCUGCGUGUGCUGACAACGGCAGGCACCCAUGUACGGGAUGAUGCGGUGGCCAACCUGACCCAGCUGAUUGGGGGUGCUCAGGAGCUACACGCCUACUCUGUGCGCCGUCUCUACAGCGCCCUGGCAGACGACAUCUCCCAACAACCGCUGGUGCAAGUGGCAGCCUGGUGCAUUGGAGAAUACGGGGACCUCCUGCUGGAGGGGGGCUGUGAGGAAACUGAGCCCCUUCAGGUGGAGGAAGAGAAGGUGUUGGCACUCCUCGAAAAGGUGCUGCAGUCCCAUAUGUCCCUACCGGCCACACGAGGAUAUGCCCUGACAGCCCUCAUGAAGCUCAGCACCAGGCUCCGUGGGGACAACAACCGCAUCCGCCAGGUGGUGUCCAUUUAUGGGAGCUGCCUGGACGUGGAGCUGCAGCAGCGGGCCGUGGAGUACAACACGCUCUUCCGGAAGUACGACCACAUGAGGGCUGCCAUCCUAGAAAAGAUGCCUCUCGUGGAGCGAGGUGGCACUCAGGAUGAGGAAGCAAAGGAAAGCAAAGAGGCCCAGCUUUCGGAAGCAGCCCUUGUUGCCACAGAGCCGCAGGCCUCCAAGCUCUUGGAUCUGUUAGAUCUCCUGGAUGGCACUUCUGGGGCUGCCCAGCCCCCACCUGCUCCGGAACCCUCCCCAGGAGGCACUUUAGUACACCUCCUCGACCUGCCCUGUGCGUCUCCAGCCCCAGACUUCGUAUCCUGGCCUGUGAGGCCCAGCUUCCUCCCAGCCCAUCUCCUAUACUUUCCCUCUCCCUGCUCCACUGGCCCCUCUCAGCUCCUCAGACCGUCUCACCUGAAACGCUUGCUUCCAUCCCAAAUCUCAGAGUGUUUGAGCGUGAAGGACUGCAGCUGAAUCUGUCUUUUGUUCGCCCCCCUGGAACCCCUGCUUUGCUCUUAAUCACGGUCACUGCUAUCAACACCUCAGGGGCUGAUGUCACCCACUUUGUCUGUCAGGCUGCCGUGCCCAAGAGUUUCCAGCUGCAGCUACAGGCCCCCAGUGGGGACACAGUUCCAGCUCAGGGUGGCCUUCCAGUGACCCAGCUCCUCAGAAUCCUCAAUCCUAACAAGGCCCCCUUGAGGCUAAAGCUGCGCCUCACCUACAACCACUUUGGCCAGUCGGUGCAGGAGAUCUUUGAAGUGAACAACUUGCCCGUGGAGACGUGGCAGUAACUCAGCCUCCACUCAGUCUGAAAUCCUCCUGUAUCCCAAACUCCCCAGGGUCUCGGCCACUUGGAGCCUGCACCUGAUGACUACCAGCAGGUGGCGCUCUGGUCCUGCGUUUGCCUCUGCAAAACCGGGGGGGGGGAGCGGGGGGGGCGCCCUUCCACCCCCCACAAAUAAUGAAAGCCCAAUAAAGCCUGAGGGGGGAAAGCCAUAUUUGGGUAUAUUUGAGAUAGAAAACGUUUACAAAUCAUA
Molecule: non-coding RNA, 2765 nt
Organism: Leptonychotes weddellii (Weddell seal)
Lineage: Eukaryota; Metazoa; Chordata; Mammalia; Carnivora; Phocidae
Source: RefSeq, a predicted model, not a curated record